UCAGGCUUAGCUCAGCUGGGAGAGCAUCUGCCUUACAAGCAGAGGGUCGGGGGUUCGAUCCCCUCAGCCUCCACCA
Molecule: transfer RNA, 76 nt
Filed under: Paenibacillus odorifer
Lineage: Bacteria; Bacillati; Bacillota; Bacilli; Caryophanales; Paenibacillaceae
Description: tRNA-Val
Rfam family: tRNA
About the family: Transfer RNA (tRNA) molecules are approximately 80 nucleotides in length. Their secondary structure includes four short double-helical elements and three loops (D, anti-codon, and T loops). Further hydrogen bonds mediate the characteristic L-shaped molecular structure. tRNAs have two regions of fundamental functional importance: the anti-codon, which is responsible for specific mRNA codon recognition, and the 3' end, to which the tRNAs corresponding amino acid is attached (by aminoacyl-tRNA synthetases). tRNAs cope with the degeneracy of the genetic code in two manners: having more than one tRNA (with a specific anti-codon) for a particular amino acid; and 'wobble' base-pairing, i.e. permitting non-standard base-pairing at the 3rd anti-codon position.
Source: RNAcentral